CCUACGGGAGGCAGCAGUGGGGAAUAUUGGGCAAUGGGCGCAAGCCUGACCCAGCAACGCCGCGUGAAGGAAGAAGGCUUUCGGGUUGUAAACUCCUUUUCUCAGGGACGAAGCAAGUGACGGUACCUGAGGAAUAAGCCACGGCUAACUACGUGCCAGCAGCCGCGGUAAGACGUAGGCGGCAAGCGUUAUGCGGAUUUGCUGGGUGUAAAGGGCGUGUAGGCGGGAAAGCAAGUCAGAUGUGAAAACCAUGGGCUUAACCUGUGGCCUGCAUUUGAAACUGUUUUUCUUGAGUACUGGAGAGGCAGACGGAAUGCCUAGUGUAGCGGUGAAAUGCGUAGAUAUUAGGAGGAACACCAGUGGCGAAGGCGGUCUGCUGGACAGCAACUGACGCUGAGGCACGAAAGCGUGGGGAGCGAACAGGAUUAGAUACCCCAGUAGUC
Molecule: ribosomal RNA, 443 nt
Filed under: uncultured bacterium
Lineage: Bacteria
Description: partial 16S ribosomal RNA
Rfam family: Bacterial small subunit ribosomal RNA
Source: RNAcentral